GACGAACGCUGGCGGCGUGCUUAACACAUGCAAGUCGAACGGAAAGGCCCUGCUUUUGUGGGGUGCUUGUGUGGCGAACGGGUGAGUAACACGUGUGUAACCUGCCCUUGACUUUGGGAUAACUUUAGGAAACUGGGGCUAAUACCGGAUAGGAGCUCCUGCUGCAUGGUGGGGGAUGGAAAGUUUCGGCGGUUGGGGAUGGACUCGCGGCUUAUCAGCUUGUUGGUGGGGUAGUGGCUUACCAAGGUUUUGACGGGUAGCCGGCCUGAGAGGGUGACCGGCCACAAUGGGACUGAGAUACGGCGCAGACUCCUACGGGAGGCAGCAGUGGGGAAUCUUGCGCAAUGGGCGGAAGCCUGAUGCAGCAACGCCGCGUGCGGGAUGACGGCCUUCGAGUUGUAAACCGCUGUCGCCUGAGACGAAGCGUGAGUGACGGUAAUGGGUAAAAAAGCACCGGCUAACUACGUG
This 468-nucleotide ribosomal RNA is filed under the name uncultured bacterium. Its description in RNAcentral is "partial 16S ribosomal RNA". It matches the Rfam family "Bacterial small subunit ribosomal RNA", at positions 28 to 507 of the family's 1533-position model. The record is from RNAcentral.